UGGUAGGUGGGGACUAACGUUUACGAAAGGAACGACUAAUACCGCAUACGCUACGGGAGAAAGCAGGGGACCUUCGGGCCUUGCGCUAUCAGAUGAGCCUAGGUCGGAUUAGCUAGUUGGUGAGGUAAUGGCUCACCAAGGCGACGAUCCGUAACUGGUCUGAGAGGAUGAUCAGUCACACUGGAACUGAGACACGGUCCAGACUCCUACGGGAGGCAGCAGGC
This 224-nucleotide ribosomal RNA is filed under the name uncultured Pseudomonas sp. RNAcentral's name for it is "partial 16S ribosomal RNA". It matches the Rfam family "Bacterial small subunit ribosomal RNA", at positions 131 to 354 of the family's 1533-position model. Lineage: Bacteria; Pseudomonadati; Pseudomonadota; Gammaproteobacteria; Pseudomonadales; Pseudomonadaceae. The record is from RNAcentral.